This 427-nucleotide ribosomal RNA is filed under the name uncultured bacterium. Its description in RNAcentral is "partial 16S ribosomal RNA". It matches the Rfam family "Bacterial small subunit ribosomal RNA", at positions 355 to 774 of the family's 1533-position model. The record is from RNAcentral.
UGGGGAAUAUUGCACAAUGGGCGCAAGCCUGAUGCAGCCAUGCCGCGUGUAUGAAGAAGGCCUUCGGGUUGUAAAGUACUUUCAGCGGGGAGGAAGGUGUUGUGGUUAAUAACCUCAGCAAUUGACGUUACCCGCAGAAGAAGCCCCGGCUAACUCCGUGCCAGCAGCCGCGGUAAUACGGAGGGUGCAAGCGUUCAUCGGAAUUACUGGGCGUAAAGCGCACGCAGGCGGUCUGUCAAGUCGGAUGUGAAAUCCCCGGGCUCAACCUGGGAACUGCAUCCGAAACUGGCAGGCUUGAGUCUUGUAGAGGGGGGUAGAAUUCCAGGUGUAGCGGUGAAAUGCGUAGAGAUCUGGAGGAAUACCGGUGGCGAAGGCGGCCCCCUGGACAAAGACUGACGCUCAGGUGCGAAAGCGUGGGGAGCAAACA